AGUGAACGCUGGCGGCAGGCCUAACACAUGCAAGUCGAGCGGCAGCGCGGGGGCAACCCUGGCGGCGAGCGGCGGACGGGUGAGGAAUUCGUCGGAAUCUGCCUUUUUGUGGGGGAUAACGUAGGGAAACUUACGCUAAUACCGCAUACGUCCUACGGGAGAAAGUGGGGGACCGCAAGGCCUCACGCAGAAAGAUGAGCCGACGACCGAUUAGCUAGUUGGUGGGGUAAAGGCCCACCAAGGCGACGAUCGGUAGCUGGUCUGAGAGGAUGAUCAGCCACACUGGAACUGAGACACGGCCCAGACUCCUACGGGAGGCAGCAGUGGGGAAUAUUGGACAAUGGGCGCAAGCCUGAUCCAGCCAUGCCGCGUGUGUGAAGAAGGCCUUCGGGUUGUAAAGCACUUUUGUCCGGAAAGAAAUCCCUGGAGCUAAUACCUGCGGGGGAUGACGGUACCGGAAGAAUAAGCACCGGCUAACUUCGUG
This 484-nucleotide ribosomal RNA is filed under the name uncultured bacterium. Its description in RNAcentral is "partial 16S ribosomal RNA". It matches the Rfam family "Bacterial small subunit ribosomal RNA", at positions 29 to 507 of the family's 1533-position model. The record is from RNAcentral.